ACCUGUAAAAGGCAAACCCGCCGCGAGGCUGGGACGCAAAGCUUCCGGUCCUGGCGUCCAGGAUAGCGGGGCCGCCAUC
This 79-nucleotide non-coding RNA is filed under the name Thiobacillus sp. RNAcentral's name for it is "c-di-GMP sequence". It matches the Rfam family "c-di-GMP-I riboswitch aptamer". From Rfam's summary of the family: GEMM was predicted in a large-scale screen for bacterial structured RNA regulatory elements. Genes associated with GEMM are involved in a diverse array of functions, including chemotaxis regulation, signal transduction, secretion and chitin. Lineage: Bacteria; Pseudomonadati; Pseudomonadota; Betaproteobacteria; Nitrosomonadales; Thiobacillaceae. The record is from RNAcentral.